UGCAUGAAAACAAAAUGUUUUUAUUUUUAAUCAGAUGUAACUUACUUUAAAGAAUCACUAUAAUGUCACAAACACAAACCUGUAUUUCAGACCCUAUAGCACUAAGAUCACUAUCUAGUCUCCAUUGCCCCCCUAAUUAUAGUAAAAUCUUUCUUUUAUUCCAGUCUCCUGGUGCUGGCUCUGCCACUGAUCUGCCGCCUUGGCUGACAUCAUCAGAAGUAAUGAUCUCAGCCAAUCACAAUGCUUUCUUAUAGGAAAACAUUGGAUUGGCUGAGAUGGUCAAUUGUGAUGUCUGCCAAGGAGGAGAGUUGUGGGUGUAGCCAAACACAGCCAUGUAGUGAAUCAAUCCAUCUCUAUGGGGAAAGUUGAGUGUCUCCAUACAGAGGGUGGAGACACUGAAUGUCAGUCACACUGUGCAGCACUGCCCGAGGGAGCACCUCUAGUAACCAUCUGAGGAGUGGACACUAAAAGUGUCCCUAGGUUGUAAUGUGAAAACAUUGACUUUUCUCUAAAAAGAAAGUAUUUACAUUCAAAUUUCUGAAGAGAAUGAUUAUAGUUACUAUAGAAAGUACAUUAAGCUGUAGUUGUUCUGGUGACCAGGGCCGCCAUCAGGGGGUGACAACCAUGGUGGUUGGCAUAGGCCUGGCUGUCCUGGGGGGCCCGGACUGCUUUGGCAGUCCCGGGCCCCACAUUCCCUCUCUGCACAUAUAUAUAGAGAUGAUUGCUAUAUAUAUGUGCAGCUGCGGGCCCCCGGCUCCCUGUUUUUGCAGAGGGGGCCCAGCAGACUGCAGCAGUACUUUACAGCUCUUACAGCUCUCGAACUCCCGCGAGACGUGUGGCCGUCAUCACGCUCGCCCCCUCUGCAAAUACAGGGAGUCGGGGGCCCCACAAUGCCACCGGACCACCAAUGAUGGAAUCUCCCCCCUCCCUGAACCAGGUAAGAAGCAGGGAAGAGGGAAUAACCUUUAUUAGAUUUAAUGUGGGGGAAAGGGAAAAUGCUCUAUUUGCACAACAUUCAUACACUAGUAAACACACACACACUACACUGACACACACUCUGCAUUCAUUACACUGACACACACUCUGCAUUCAUUACACUAACACACACUCUACAUUCAUUACCCUGACACACACUCUGCAUUCACUACCCUGACACACACUCUGCAUUCACUACCCUGACACACACUCUGCAGUCACUACACUGACACACACACUGCAUUCACUACCCUGACACACACUCUGCAUUCAUUACACUGACACACACUCUGCAUUCAUUACACUAACACACACUCUGCAUUCAUUACACUGACACACACUCUGCAUUCACUACACUGACACACACUCUGCAUUCACUACACUGACACACACUCUGCAUUCACUACACUGACACACACUCUGCAUUCACUACCCUGACACACACUCUGCAUUCACUACACUGACACACACACUGCAUUCACUACCCUGACACACACUCUGCAUUCACUACCCUGACACACACUCUGCAUUCACUACACUGACACACACUCUGCAUUCACUACACUGACACACAAUCUGAUUUCUGGUGGCAGCCCUGCUGGUGACUAUAGUGUCCCUUUAAAUGUUUUUAUCUCCUGCUCUGUAAAUUGAAUGUUGGUCACAUGCAGGAGUCUCCUGCAGGGUCUAAAAGGCUAUCAACAGAGCAGGAGAUGAGAAAUUCUAAAUAAACAGAAAUUCCAAUAAAGGAAGUGUAAACAUUAGAUAAUUAUUUGCAGGAAGUGUUAAGGAAGGCUGUGUAAGUCACAUACAGGGAGGUGUGACUAGGGCUGCAUAAACAAAGUGAUUUAAAUCCUAAAUGGCAGAGGAUUGAGCAGUGAGUCUGCAGAGGCAAGAUCUAU
Non-coding RNA from Pelobates cultripes (western spadefoot toad), 1874 nucleotides. Lineage: Eukaryota; Metazoa; Chordata; Amphibia; Anura; Pelobatidae. The record is from the annotation of a GenBank genome assembly.